Molecule: long non-coding RNA, 2504 nt
Organism: Galleria mellonella (greater wax moth)
Lineage: Eukaryota; Metazoa; Arthropoda; Insecta; Lepidoptera; Pyralidae
Exons: 3
Source: RefSeq, a predicted model, not a curated record
UAGAGUUACAAAGGGCAAGCCCAUAUCUUUCUAAUACAAUAAAAUUGCAACUACACGGUGUCUAUACAUGGAAGCUCCAUGCCUAGGUUUUCCCUAGAGACUAUACAGUAUGGGGUUCUUCAAAAAAUAUAUAUUAAGGUUACUUCAGGGUCGGCAAUGUGCACGUGACACCCUAAUGCUGCAAGGGGAGGGAUUGCUAGUAAUGGGGACUACCAGUCCCAUUGCUAGCAAUAUAUCCAACCAGGUCGACAAUCACAUGAUUUCGCCUGGAAACCGGAAAAAAAUGUGCAGGUGGUGAUCAAGAGCGUGAAGCAGGGUCUGAGAACUAGCAUCGUGAGACCUUGAUCUUUUCAUCACUUAAGAAUCUAUCUUUCUUAUAUUAUUAAAAUGGUGAUGAUUUGUGUUCCGUAAAUAGAUAUAUAAAUACUCUUUGUUCCAUUCAUAUGAUUACAUUAGUAAACUUAAUAUAAAUACAAACAAUUAUAAGAUUAGACUAAGAAAACAAUGAGCAGCCUUAUCACUAAGGGCGAUUUCUUCCAGGCAACCUUUGGAUAGAGAAGAGUAAAUAUAUACAGUUUGACUGGAGGCACGAAAUUCUACUCUUUUUUUUUUAAAUACAUGGUGGGUCUACCAUUGGGGGGUUUUGUCAGUAGUUGCCACGCAUGGUAGGCAAUGAAAGAAUGUGAGUGUAACGGCAAAAACGAAAGGGAAAUAAACCUGAUAAAAACAUUUUAAAGACGCUCAUGUUUGUUAAACUAGUCUUCCGUAAGAUCCAGAUAACAAGUAUCAGCGUAAUCUUAAAUUGUAAUGUAAUGUAAAAUCAGUAAUAAAAUAUCGACAUAAUAAUUAGAAUGUUUCACUUACAAUCAUGUUUUUAUCAAAAUAAGAGUAAGAAAAUUCGAAAAAUAACUUAAUUAUUACAUUAAGUUUUAUAAACUAAUUAAUAAUUUAAAAAUUUUUGCAUGCCUUAAUACUCACACUAUCUCCAAGCUUGAAAUGUGCUUUUAAUGAUGACAUUGCUUCAGCAGGCAAAUCUUUCAUUGCAUCCUCAAUUUGUAACUUGUCAAUGGAGCCAUGGCCAUUUACUAUGCCUUCACACUUCAAGUCCAAACUGGAGCCAGGGGAUGUACCCAGUACAAUGAAUGACUCAUCAUCACCAUUAUCUAACAUUGAGUCCAUAUUUAUACCUGAAAAAACCAAUGACUCAUAACUUCUAACUUAUUAGAGUAGGAUAUUUUUCAAAUGCAUAGUUAUAUGGACCUUUGGCACAAAGUAUAAUCAACACUGGACUUUUUUUAUUUACCAUUUACAAACUGUGUUAUGUAUAUUUACAUGAUAUCAAGGCAAAGAUUCUCAAUAAUUUUAGUAUCACAACCACUAGUUGCUAUACUAAAAUGGUUAUAUCAUGUAAAUAUACAUGUAAUAUAUAUACUAAAAAGUAAUCAUAAAGUCUUAACUCUUCUAUAAACUAUUUUAACUAUUAAAGUAACUUAACAAUUAAAAAAAAAUUGCACAAAAAAGAGACAAACUACUCUAAUAUCCAAAGCAGGGUUAUGAGAUGUUCAACGUUUUUAUAAAUAAGACUGAUAAGAAUGAAAAGAACAUUGAAUAGUACUUCUGGAGCAGAAAAAAUAUGAACUUUGGAAAGUACUCAAUUUUAAUAUAAAUAAUAACAGUCUGUGUUUGCAUACACUGCAUUGAAAAAUGUAAAAGAAGAUUUAAGUCAACUAAGUCAUUAAAUAGAUAUAUUAAAUAUCAAACUAUUAAAAAAGAUUUCAGAGGAUCGCAACAUACUGAGAAUGUAAAUGUCACUAAAUAUUGUGAAGUUUUAGGAUGACCAAUAUUAAUUAUAAUUUUGAAUAUUAGUAAUUAAGAGACUACACAUGUAUUUUAUUUUAUCUCACUGACCCAAUUGUGUUACACUAGACACAGACGAGUUGUGUAUGUAUAACAUAUACUUCAUGCAUUAAGCAUGGUACUGGACACUGGUAACAAGAAAAAUAUAGAAAAAUAACAUUAAAAUGUACUAUUUAUAAUAAUGCAGCGUCACAACGAUUGCUGAUUGUGAGAAAAUAUCAUCAUGAUUAUUAAAUUGCCUAAACUCCAAAUUUACAGCAGUCAUCAACAAUGUGCUAUAAUGGACAGAGCAUACUGCUAUUUCAUUAAAAUCUUAUGUAGAUAAAUGUUUAGUUUUAUUGAAAUUAUAGUAUAAUAUAAAGAUAUGAUGAUUUAUACAGAAUAAGAAAUACACAAAAAGGAAAUACAAAACCCGGUGUAUUUAUAAUGCUGAUGGCAGUAAAUUUCCAUGAAUUAUUGAAAAUAAUAAUUGUAAAACAUCAUUGAACUCGAUAAAACAUCAUUGAAAAUAAUAAUUUUUCACCUAAUAUUCUCUGUUGACAUAGAUCUUUUCUAACACUUGUAUAUUUAUUAACCAAUUAAUUAAACCAUUAUAAUCAAAUAGUACCUAAUUAAAAAAUAAACAAACACAGCAACCUACCAGUAAC